Molecule: transfer RNA, 72 nt
Filed under: Mesorhizobium australicum
Lineage: Bacteria; Pseudomonadati; Pseudomonadota; Alphaproteobacteria; Hyphomicrobiales; Phyllobacteriaceae
Also listed under: 3 other names
Rfam family: tRNA
About the family: Transfer RNA (tRNA) molecules are approximately 80 nucleotides in length.
Source: Rfam by way of RNAcentral
GCCCUUGUAGCUCAGCGGUAGAGCAGCGGUUUUGUAAACCGAAGGUCGCGGGUUCAAUCCCUGCCGGGGGCA